ACAACUAGUUUGAGCCUAAGGCCUAAAUUGGAUCAAUACAAAACCGGUCCUGGAAUGUAUGUAACAGACUCGAACCGAAGAAGCUUAUCUCAUAAGCUGCAGCUGAAUCGAAAAUGCCUCUUCAAUAAUCUCCAAGAUGCAACAACAAUGGUGUCCGUUUCAGUAUCACGAUCAUGGAUUUGGAUUCUUCGUAUCGGUAUCAUCUUCGAGGAUGUGUCUUCUCCACGCCUCAAAGUUCAUGGGUUUAUGCUUGGAACAUUUGAAUCAUAGCAAGGAGAAGGACAAAUACUUACCAGAUUCUUGAGCUCCGGCACGGUGCUCCUUGGUGACGCACCAGGUGGAGGUGUAAGGACCUUGGAAGGAGCAUAUGGAACAAGUGGAUGGCAAGCAAGCUCAAGACUAAAGCCAUUCUUCCAUUCAUGGCUAAUGUAACAUGAUGUAAUAGUAGGAUUUGUAUGGACCUUGUAGAAACACUAAAAUGUAAUGAAAGCUAUUUUUGUUCUAAUCGACUUUGGUUUGGCUUUGUUAA
This is a long non-coding RNA of Lathyrus oleraceus (garden pea), 529 nucleotides long. RefSeq lists it as uncharacterized. Lineage: Eukaryota; Viridiplantae; Streptophyta; Magnoliopsida; Fabales; Fabaceae. The transcript is spliced from 2 exons. The record is from RefSeq and is a predicted model, not a curated record.